Non-coding RNA from Felis catus (domestic cat), 85 nucleotides. The record is from Rfam. NCBI's taxonomy places the organism in Eukaryota, Metazoa, Chordata, Mammalia, Carnivora, Felidae.
GCCUGGGUGGCUCAGUCGGUUAAGCGUCCGACUUCAGCUCAGGUCACAAUCUCGCGAUCCGUGAGUUUGAGCCCCGCCUCGGGCU